UUUAAAAAUAUUAAACAAGACUCAAGGACACAAAACUAGGCUAAAAACUCUAAUAACUCGAAACACACUUAAGAUGACUCAAAAUAAUGAAAAUAAUCAAAUUAAACACUAGGAACUGAAAUGGACGGAAAUCGAAUUGAAAGACUAACAAUAAUGAAAACUAACUAAAUAAUAUAAUUUAAUAAUGGAAGGGUGUUUGGUUUUGACAAACUUAAAUAAAUUACAGAAUUGACAAAAACAUGAAAUUAAGGUGAAA
This 256-nucleotide long non-coding RNA is filed under the name Malus domestica (apple). RNAcentral describes it as "long non-coding RNA (MDOM_LNC010225)". Lineage: Eukaryota; Viridiplantae; Streptophyta; Magnoliopsida; Rosales; Rosaceae. The record is from RNAcentral.